Molecule: ribosomal RNA, 1520 nt
Filed under: Klebsiella pneumoniae
Lineage: Bacteria; Pseudomonadati; Pseudomonadota; Gammaproteobacteria; Enterobacterales; Enterobacteriaceae
Description: bacterial SSU rRNA
Rfam family: Bacterial small subunit ribosomal RNA
Source: RNAcentral
AGAGUUUGAUCAUGGCUCAGAUUGAACGCUGGCGGCAGGCCUAACACAUGCAAGUCGAGCGGUAGCACAGAGAGCUUGCUCUCGGGUGACGAGCGGCGGACGGGUGAGUAAUGUCUGGGAAACUGCCUGAUGGAGGGGGAUAACUACUGGAAACGGUAGCUAAUACCGCAUAAUGUCGCAAGACCAAAGUGGGGGACCUUCGGGCCUCAUGCCAUCAGAUGUGCCCAGAUGGGAUUAGCUAGUAGGUGGGGUAACGGCUCACCUAGGCGACGAUCCCUAGCUGGUCUGAGAGGAUGACCAGCCACACUGGAACUGAGACACGGUCCAGACUCCUACGGGAGGCAGCAGUGGGGAAUAUUGCACAAUGGGCGCAAGCCUGAUGCAGCCAUGCCGCGUGUGUGAAGAAGGCCUUCGGGUUGUAAAGCACUUUCAGCGGGGAGGAAGGCGNUAAGGUUAAUAACCUUGGCGAUUGACGUUACCCGCAGAAGAAGCACCGGCUAACUCCGUGCCAGCAGCCGCGGUAAUACGGAGGGUGCAAGCGUUAAUCGGAAUUACUGGGCGUAAAGCGCACGCAGGCGGUCUGUCAAGUCGGAUGUGAAAUCCCCGGGCUCAACCUGGGAACUGCAUUCGAAACUGGCAGGCUAGAGUCUUGUAGAGGGGGGUAGAAUUCCAGGUGUAGCGGUGAAAUGCGUAGAGAUCUGGAGGAAUACCGGUGGCGAAGGCGGCCCCCUGGACAAAGACUGACGCUCAGGUGCGAAAGCGUGGGGAGCAAACAGGAUUAGAUACCCUGGUAGUCCACGCCGUAAACGAUGUCGAUUUGGAGGUUGUGCCCUUGAGGCGUGGCUUCCGGAGCUAACGCGUUAAAUCGACCGCCUGGGGAGUACGGCCGCAAGGUUAAAACUCAAAUGAAUUGACGGGGGCCCGCACAAGCGGUGGAGCAUGUGGUUUAAUUCGAUGCAACGCGAAGAACCUUACCUGGUCUUGACAUCCACAGAACUUUCCAGAGAUGGAUUGGUGCCUUCGGGAACUGUGAGACAGGUGCUGCAUGGCUGUCGUCAGCUCGUGUUGUGAAAUGUUGGGUUAAGUCCCGCAACGAGCGCAACCCUUAUCCUUUGUUGCCAGCGGUUAGGCCGGGAACUCAAAGGAGACUGCCAGUGAUAAACUGGAGGAAGGUGGGGAUGACGUCAAGUCAUCAUGGCCCUUACGACCAGGGCUACACACGUGCUACAAUGGCAUAUACAAAGAGAAGCGACCUCGCGAGAGCAAGCGGACCUCAUAAAGUAUGUCGUAGUCCGGAUUGGAGUCUGCAACUCGACUCCAUGAAGUCGGAAUCGCUAGUAAUCGUAGAUCAGAAUGCUACGGUGAAUACGUUCCCGGGCCUUGUACACACCGCCCGUCACACCAUGGGAGUGGGUUGCAAAAGAAGUAGGUAGCUUAACCUUCGGGAGGGCGCUUACCACUUUGUGAUUCAUGACUGGGGUGAAGUCGUAACAAGGUAACCGUAGGGGAACCUGCGGUUG